Molecule: long non-coding RNA, 229 nt
Filed under: Mytilus galloprovincialis (Mediterranean mussel)
Lineage: Eukaryota; Metazoa; Mollusca; Bivalvia; Mytilida; Mytilidae
Source: RNAcentral
AAAUUGUAUGUAAUAAUUGUAUGUAUUGUAAAUAUAAAAUAAACGUCAUCAAUUUUUAUAAAUUAGUACAUAUUACAAGUCCCAUCGUACAUUGCUGUUUCAAGUUCAUGUAACAAUAACGCUAUGUAACCGUAGCCUCAAUAUUUAUUGUUACAUUCGUAAUUAAUCAGGUCCUUACCCGACCAUGCAUUCCGGUAUUUAGUCUCCAAUGUAACAAUAAUAUUUUUAU